UACCAGCUCUCCGAGUGGUGUGGAUGUUUAUUGGGCCUAAAGCAUCCGUAGCUGGCUGGACAAGUCCCCUGUUAAAUCCACCGAUUUAAUCGUUGGUGUGCGGGGGAUACUGUUCGGCUAGGGGACGGGAGAGGCAGACGGUAUUUUCGGGGUAGGGGUGAAAUCCUAUAAUCCCGGGAAGACCACCAGUGGCGAAGGCCGUCUGCUAGAACGCGCCCGACGGUGAGGGAUGAAAGCUGGGGGAGCGAACCGGAUUAGAUACCCGGGUAGUCCCAGCUGUAAACGAUGCAGGCUAGGUGUUUGGACGGCCACGUGCCGUUCUAGUGCCGCAGGGAAGCCGCUAAGCCUGCCGCCUGGGGAGUACGGCCGCAAGGCUGAAACUUAAAGGAAUUGGCGGGGGAGCACCACAAGGGGUGAAGCUUGCGGUUU
This 429-nucleotide ribosomal RNA is filed under the name uncultured archaeon. RNAcentral describes it as "bacterial SSU rRNA". It matches the Rfam family "Archaeal small subunit ribosomal RNA", at positions 474 to 903 of the family's 1478-position model. The record is from RNAcentral.